Molecule: ribosomal RNA, 2788 nt
Filed under: metagenome
Description: bacterial LSU rRNA
Rfam family: Bacterial large subunit ribosomal RNA
Source: RNAcentral
AGCGUACACGGUGGAUGCCCUGGCAGUCAGAGGCGAUGAAGGACGUGCUAAUCUGCGAUAAGCGUCGGUAAGGUGAUAUGAACCGUUAUAACCGGCGAUUUCCGAAUGGGGAAACCCAGUGUGUUUCGACACACUAUCAUUAACUGAAUCCAUAGGUUAAUGAGGCGAACCGGGGGAACUGAAACAUCUAAGUACCCCGAGGAAAAGAAAUCAACCGAGAUUCCCCCAGUAGCGGCGAGCGAACGGGGAGCAGCCCAGAGCCUGAAUCAGUGUGUGUGUUAGUGGAAGCGUCUGGAAAGGCGCGCGAUACAGGGUGACAGCCCCGUACACAAAAAUGCACAUGCUGUGAGCUCGAUGAGUAGGGCGGGACACGUGGUAUCCUGUCUGAAUAUGGGGGGACCAUCCUCCAAGGCUAAAUACUCCUGACUGACCGAUAGUGAACCAGUACCGUGAGGGAAAGGCGAAAAGAACCCCGGCGAGGGGAGUGAAAAAGAACCUGAAACCGUGUACGUACAAGCAGUGGGAGCACGCUUAGGCGUGUGACUGCGUACCUUUUGUAUAAUGGGUCAGCGACUUAUAUUCUGUAGCAAGGUUAACCGAAUAGGGGAGCCGAAGGGAAACCGAGUCUUAACUGGGCGUUAAGUUGCAGGGUAUAGACCCGAAACCCGGUGAUCUAGCCAUGGGCAGGUUGAAGGUUGGGUAACACUAACUGGAGGACCGAACCGACUAAUGUUGAAAAAUUAGCGGAUGACUUGUGGCUGGGGGUGAAAGGCCAAUCAAACCGGGAGAUAGCUGGUUCUCCCCGAAAGCUAUUUAGGUAGCGCCUCGUGAAUUCAUCUCCGGGGGUAGAGCACUGUUUCGGCAAGGGGGUCAUCCCGACUUACCAACCCGAUGCAAACUGCGAAUACCGGAGAAUGUUAUCACGGGAGACACACGGCGGGUGCUAACGUCCGUCGUGAAGAGGGAAACAACCCAGACCGCCAGCUAAGGUCCCAAAGUCAUGGUUAAGUGGGAAACGAUGUGGGAAGGCCCAGACAGCCAGGAUGUUGGCUUAGAAGCAGCCAUCAUUUAAAGAAAGCGUAAUAGCUCACUGGUCGAGUCGGCCUGCGCGGAAGAUGUAACGGGGCUAAACCAUGCACCGAAGCUGCGGCAGCGACACUAUGUGUUGUUGGGUAGGGGAGCGUUCUGUAAGCCUGUGAAGGUGUGCUGUGAGGCAUGCUGGAGGUAUCAGAAGUGCGAAUGCUGACAUAAGUAACGAUAAAGCGGGUGAAAAGCCCGCUCGCCGGAAGACCAAGGGUUCCUGUCCAACGUUAAUCGGGGCAGGGUGAGUCGACCCCUAAGGCGAGGCCGAAAGGCGUAGUCGAUGGGAAACAGGUUAAUAUUCCUGUACUUGGUGUUACUGCGAAGGGGGGACGGAGAAGGCUAUGUUGGCCGGGCGACGGUUGUCCCGGUUUAAGCGUGUAGGCUGGUUUUCCAGGCAAAUCCGGAAAAUCAAGGCUGAGGCGUGAUGACGAGGCACUACGGUGCUGAAGCAACAAAUGCCCUGCUUCCAGGAAAAGCCUCUAAGCAUCAGGUAACAUCAAAUCGUACCCCAAACCGACACAGGUGGUCAGGUAGAGAAUACCAAGGCGCUUGAGAGAACUCGGGUGAAGGAACUAGGCAAAAUGGUGCCGUAACUUCGGGAGAAGGCACGCUGAUAUGUAGGUGAAGUCCCUUGCGGAUGGAGCUGAAAUCAGUCGAAGAUACCAGCUGGCUGCAACUGUUUAUUAAAAACACAGCACUGUGCAAACACGAAAGUGGACGUAUACGGUGUGACGCCUGCCCGGUGCCGGAAGGUUAAUUGAUGGGGUUAGCGGUAACGCGAAGCUCUUGAUCGAAGCCCCGGUAAACGGCGGCCGUAACUAUAACGGUCCUAAGGUAGCGAAAUUCCUUGUCGGGUAAGUUCCGACCUGCACGAAUGGCGUAAUGAUGGCCAGGCUGUCUCCACCCGAGACUCAGUGAAAUUGAACUCGCUGUGAAGAUGCAGUGUACCCGCGGCAAGACGGAAAGACCCCGUGAACCUUUACUAUAGCUUGACACUGAACAUUGAGCCUUGAUGUGUAGGAUAGGUGGGAGGCUUUGAAGUGUGGACGCCAGUCUGCAUGGAGCCGACCUUGAAAUACCACCCUUUAAUGUUUGAUGUUCUAACGUUGGCCCGUAAUCCGGGUUGCGGACAGUGUCUGGUGGGUAGUUUGACUGGGGCGGUCUCCUCCUAAAGAGUAACGGAGGAGCACGAAGGUUGGCUAAUCCUGGUCGGACAUCAGGAGGUUAGUGCAAUGGCAUAAGCCAGCUUGACUGCGAGCGUGACGGCGCGAGCAGGUGCGAAAGCAGGUCAUAGUGAUCCGGUGGUUCUGAAUGGAAGGGCCAUCGCUCAACGGAUAAAAGGUACUCCGGGGAUAACAGGCUGAUACCGCCCAAGAGUUCAUAUCGACGGCGGUGUUUGGCACCUCGAUGUCGGCUCAUCACAUCCUGGGGCUGAAGUAGGUCCCAAGGGUAUGGCUGUUCGCCAUUUAAAGUGGUACGCGAGCUGGGUUUAGAACGUCGUGAGACAGUUCGGUCCCUAUCUGCCGUGGGCGCUGGAGAACUGAGGGGGGCUGCUCCUAGUACGAGAGGACCGGAGUGGACGCAUCACUGGUGUUCGGGUUGUCAUGCCAAUGGCACUGCCCGGUAGCUAAAUGCGGAAGAGAUAAGUGCUGAAAGCAUCUAAGCACGAAACUUGCCCCGAGAUGAGUUCUCCCUGACUCCUUGA